CGGGUGAGUAACACGUGGAUAACCUACCUAUAAGACUGGGAUAACUUCGGGAAACCGGAGCUAAUACCGGAUAAUAUAUUGAACCGCAUGGUUCAAUAGUGAAAGACGGUUUUGCUGUCACUUAUAGAUGGAUCCGCGUCGCAUUAGCUAGUUGGUAAGGUAACGGCUUACCAAGGCAGCGAUGCGUAGCCGACCUGAGAGGGUGAUCGGCCACACUGGAACUGAGACACGGUCCAGACUCCUACGGGAGGCAGCAGAU
This 259-nucleotide ribosomal RNA is filed under the name uncultured Staphylococcus sp. Its description in RNAcentral is "partial 16S ribosomal RNA". It matches the Rfam family "Bacterial small subunit ribosomal RNA", at positions 103 to 354 of the family's 1533-position model. The record is from RNAcentral. Lineage: Bacteria; Bacillati; Bacillota; Bacilli; Caryophanales; Staphylococcaceae.